This 497-nucleotide ribosomal RNA is filed under the name uncultured bacterium. RNAcentral's name for it is "partial 16S ribosomal RNA". It matches the Rfam family "Bacterial small subunit ribosomal RNA", at positions 28 to 507 of the family's 1533-position model. The record is from RNAcentral.
GAUGAACGCUGGCGGCGUGCCUAAUACAUGCAAGUCGAGCGAACAGACGAGGAGCUUGCUCCUCUGACGUUAGCGGCGGACGGGUGAGUAACACGUGGAUAACCUACCUAUAAGACUGGGAUAACUUCGGGAAACCGGAGCUAAUACCGGAUAACAUGUUGAACCGCAUGGUUCAACAGUGAAAGACGGUCUUGCUGUCACUUAUAGAUGGAUCCGCGCCGCAUUAGCUAGUUGGUAAGGUAACGGCUUACCAAGGCAACGAUGCGUAGCCGACCUGAGAGGGUGAUCGGCCACACUGGAACUGAGACACGGUCCAGACUCCUACGGGAGGCAGCAGUAGGAAAUCUUCCGCAAUGGGCGAAAGCCUGACGGAGCAACGCCGCGUGAGUGAAGAGGGUCUUCGGAUCGUAAAACUCUGUUAUUAGGGAAGAACAAAUGUGUAAGUAACUAUGCACGUCUUGACGGUACCUAAUCAGAAAGCCACGGCUAACUACGUG